This 253-nucleotide ribosomal RNA is filed under the name uncultured bacterium. RNAcentral describes it as "partial 16S ribosomal RNA". It matches the Rfam family "Bacterial small subunit ribosomal RNA", at positions 524 to 776 of the family's 1533-position model. The record is from RNAcentral.
UACAGAGGGUGCAAGCGUUAAUCGGAGUUACUGGGCGUAAAGGGCGCGUAGGCGGUUUUUUAAGUGAGAUGUGAAAUCCCCGGGCUUAACCUGGGAACUGCAUCUUAAACUGGAAAGCUGGAGUACUGUAGAGGGCAGUGGAAUUUCCGGUGUAGCGGUGAAAUGCGUAGAGAUCGGAAGGAACACCAGUGGCGAAGGCGACUGUCUGGACAGAUACUGACGCUGAGGCGCGAAAGCGUGGGGAGCAAACAGG